CGCCUGUUUAUCAAAAACAUCUUUUCUCGUUAGUUUUUGAAGUAUGGCCUGCCCGCUGACUUUGAUGUUGAAGGGCCGCGGUAUUUUGACCGUGCAAAGGUAGCAUAGUCAUUAGUUCUUUAAUUGUGAUCUGGUAUGAAUGGCUUGACGAGGCAUGGGCUGUCUUAAUUUUGAAUUGUUUAUUGAAUUUGGUCUUUGAGUUAAAAUUCUUAGAUGUUUUUAUGGGACGAGAAGACCCUAUAGAGUUUGACAUUUAUAUGGUCUCUUUUCGUUUGUGAGGGUUCACUGGGCCAUUUAGUAUGUUUUGUUGGGGUGAUGGGAGGGAUAUUAUUUAACCCCUCCUUUGUGUUGUUAUAUUUAUUUAUAUUUGUUUGAUCCAUUUAUUUUGAUUGUAAGAUUAAAUUACCUUAGGGAUAACAGCGUAA
This 425-nucleotide ribosomal RNA is filed under the name Reticulitermes hageni (light southeastern subterranean termite). RNAcentral's name for it is "partial 16S ribosomal RNA". It matches the Rfam family "Bacterial large subunit ribosomal RNA", at positions 1797 to 2485 of the family's 2925-position model. Lineage: Eukaryota; Metazoa; Arthropoda; Insecta; Blattodea; Rhinotermitidae. The record is from RNAcentral.